RNAcentral lists this long non-coding RNA (514 nucleotides) under Homo sapiens (human). Its description in RNAcentral is "non-protein coding lnc-GPR75-ASB3-5:1". The record is from RNAcentral. Lineage: Eukaryota; Metazoa; Chordata; Mammalia; Primates; Hominidae.
AUAGUAAUAUGGAUAAUUUCAUUAAAAAGAAGAAGCACUUAAUUAAUGAGAAAACUUGAAUUGUGAUGUUUAAAUAUUAGUCAGUGAGUAUUCUUAAGUCAGUAUUUCUUUCAGUUUUCUAGUAGUGUGGAUGAAAUGCAAAUACAGAGAAAAUGAUAUAGGAAAAAUAAAAUCUUCAUAAAGAGGCUAUUUUGAGUUGUGGAUAUUGUAGUAUUUAUUAAGUGAAAAAACGAAAAAGCUUUAAGUGAAAUACAGAUAUUGUCUGUCCAUACUGUCAAUAUGUAAAGGCAGAAAGGGCCUCCAAUAUAACACUACGAUGCUUUAAUUUUAGUCGACUUUAUGUACUACAAGGUGGCCUUGCCCAGCAAGAAUGGAGAGUGCCUGAACUAUUGCACAGACUACUGAAGUACUUGGAACCCAAACUCACCCAGGUUUACAAAAAUGUCAGAGAAAGAAUAGGAAGUGUGCUGACCUACAUAUUCAUGAUAGAUGUAUCUUUGCCAAAUACCACACC